UUAGAAAAUUCCAAGGUUUUGGAAUAUUUGAAGAAAUUUUUAAAAAUCAAUAAAGAUUUUUUAAGCUUAGUUUGAUAUUGAGCUCUAUCUAAUGCUAUUAGAUAAAAUGAAGUUGAGGAAAAUAUAUAUAGGGAUAUAUUUCUGUGUUUUUCGAUGGAAUCGCAGAAAAUAUAUCCUAACCGACUCAUCGCGAUAUGCUAAAUGCAAUAUUAUGUACCGAAACAAAUAGAGUAUUAUUCCAACGUACUUUCUCGCCGCACAUAACGCAAUCUCCCUCAAAUUCCAAACGAAGUGAAAUAUUUUUAAUAUUUUUAAAAUUUUAAAAGUAUAUUAGAUAUUAUUUCUUAAUUUUUUAUUUAACAAAUAAUAGCCUACUAUUUAUUAGGGUUUAAGAUUUUUAGGGGUUAGAAAAGGAAAAAAAAAAGAAAAGAAAAGAAAAAAAAAAACAUUGUU
RNAcentral lists this long non-coding RNA (453 nucleotides) under Ananas comosus (pineapple). RNAcentral describes it as "long non-coding RNA (ACOM_LNC033663)". The record is from RNAcentral. Lineage: Eukaryota; Viridiplantae; Streptophyta; Magnoliopsida; Poales; Bromeliaceae.